RNAcentral lists this ribosomal RNA (253 nucleotides) under uncultured bacterium. RNAcentral describes it as "partial 16S ribosomal RNA". It matches the Rfam family "Bacterial small subunit ribosomal RNA", at positions 524 to 776 of the family's 1533-position model. The record is from RNAcentral.
GACAGAGGGUGCAAACGUUGUUCGGAAUUACUGGGCGUAAAGCGCGUGUAGGCGGCUUUGCAAGUCGGGUGUGAAAGCCCUCGGCUCAACCGAGGAAGUGCGCCCGAAACUGCAGAGCUUGAGUACCGGAGAGGAUGGCGGAAUUCCCCAAGUAGAGGUGAAAUUCGUAGAUAUGGGGAGGAACACCGGUGGCGAAGGCGGCCAUCUGGACGGAUACUGACGCUGAGACGCGAAAGCGUGGGGAGCAAACAGG